ACAGCAGUCGCCACGGUAAUACGAAGGGUGCAAGCGUUAAUCGGAAUUACUGGGCGUAAAGCGCGCGUAGGUGGUUUGGUAAGAUGGAUGUGAAAUCCCCGGGCUCAACCUGGGAACUGCAUCCAUAACUGCCUGACUAGAGUACGGUAGAGGGUGGUGGAAUUUCCUGUGUAGCGGUGAAAUGCGUAGAUAUAGGAAGGAACACCAGUGGCGAAGGCGACCACCUGGACUGAUACUGACACUGAGGUGCGAAAGCGUGGGGAGCAAACAGGAUUAGAUACCCCCGUAGUCCCUGUCUCUUAUAC
This 305-nucleotide ribosomal RNA is filed under the name uncultured bacterium. RNAcentral's name for it is "partial 16S ribosomal RNA". It matches the Rfam family "Bacterial small subunit ribosomal RNA", at positions 505 to 807 of the family's 1533-position model. The record is from RNAcentral.